CCCUUAGAUGUUCUGGGCCGCACGCGUGCUACACUGAGUGGAUCAGCGGGUCAGGUUACGCGAGAGCGUUUCCUAAUCUUCAAAUCCGCUCGUGAUGGGGAUUGACGGUUGCAAUUUUCCGUCAUGAACGAGGAAUACCUUGUAAGCGCGGGUCAUCAUCCCGCGCUGAAUACGUCCCUGCCCUUUGUACACACCGCCCGUCGCUCCUACCGAUUGAGUGGUCCGGUGAGGCUUUGGGAUCUAAGCGAAAAGAGCGUUUCGCUCCUUUUGCUGGGAGGACUCAGUCGAACCUUAUCAUUUAGAGGAAGGAGAAGUCGUAACA
Molecule: ribosomal RNA, 322 nt
Filed under: uncultured eukaryote
Lineage: Eukaryota
Description: partial 18S ribosomal RNA
Rfam family: Eukaryotic small subunit ribosomal RNA
Source: RNAcentral